GUCUUUUGAGAUGGAGUUCCACUCUUGUCGCCCAGGCUGGAGUGCAGUGGCGCAAUCUUGGCUCACUGCAACCUCCGCCUCUCAGGUUCAAGUGAUUCUCCUGCCUCAGCCUCCCGAGUAGCUGGGAUUACAGGUGUGAGCCACCGCACCCAGCCUUCAAAAUACAAUUCUAAAACGUAAUUCAAAUGCUCCAUACAAGAACUCUCAGGUAGUCCAAAAUUAACAAAUAUCAAAUAUUAGUAUAACUUAUGAGAUGAGUUAGUGAAUAUUUUGACCAUAUUGUAAAAGAAUCCCAAAGCACUAAAAAGUAAUUUCAACAGUAUAAAAUCUUGUUGAAAAGGUAUAAUAAGCAGACCAGGAGUUCGAGACUAGGCAACAUAGUGAGACCACGUCUCUACAAAAAAAAAUUUUUUUUUUUAAUUAGCUGGGCAUGAUAGGGUGCGCCUAUAGUCCCAGCUAUUCAGGAGACUGAGGAGGGAGGAUUGCUUGAGUUCAGGAGGUCGAGGUUGCAAUGAGCCAUGAUCACACCACCACACUCCAGUCUGGAAGACAAAGCUAGGCCCUGUCUCAAAAGAAAAAAAGUACAAUCAAAUAGUUUAAUGAACUUCAAAAGUAAUUUCUGAGAUCCUGUAUAUCUCAUACCUGUGUUUAAACACCUGAAAAAAAUAGAUAAAAAUUCAAAACUUCAAAAAAUAUGAAGGAAAUAUCAUUUGUCUUAGAAACAACGAAAAUUCAUUAAAAACUCAGAAGCCUUUAUUAUAUUUUAAAUUACUAAAACUCAGCACAUCUGGAAAUUCUGAAUACUUGUUGACUGAAUUUCUGAUUUACAGAUUUGAUAUGUAGAGAUGGUGGACAUCACCACACGUAUAGAAAGGAAAACAAUUUUUGUUAAGUUAUACAUCUUCAUCACUAUUAUACUUCAAAGUAGUGACCUUGGGAACCUUAUUCCAAAAAUGGAAAACAUCUUUGGAGCCUGUGUAAAAGCCACACAAAAGUCAGUUCUAUCAUUUUGGUUAAUCUUAAGUAUUUUACCCCAUUACAUAUUAUUUAC
RNAcentral lists this long non-coding RNA (1051 nucleotides) under Homo sapiens (human). RNAcentral's name for it is "HSALNT0086223". The record is from RNAcentral. Lineage: Eukaryota; Metazoa; Chordata; Mammalia; Primates; Hominidae.